UUUCCGUAGGUGAACCUGCGGAAGGAUCAUUAUUGAACUGUCAACAUGAGCUGUUGCUGGUCCUCAAACUGGGGGCAUGUGCACGCUCUGUUUACACAUCCACUCACAUCUGUGCACCCUCUGUAGUUCUAUGGUCCAGGGGAGAGACUCUGUCCUCCUCUCAUAGUUCUGCAUUACCACACACACACUGUAACAUAGUCUUAUGGAAUGUAUGCCGCGUUUAACGCAAUGCAAUACAACUUUCAGCAACGGAUCUCUUGGCUCUC
RNAcentral lists this unclassified non-coding RNA (266 nucleotides) under root metagenome. RNAcentral's name for it is "partial contains small subunit ribosomal RNA, internal transcribed spacer 1, and 5.8S ribosomal RNA". The record is from RNAcentral.